Molecule: RNase P RNA, 432 nt
Filed under: Lachnospiraceae bacterium
Lineage: Bacteria; Bacillati; Bacillota; Clostridia; Lachnospirales; Lachnospiraceae
Description: RNase P RNA component class A
Rfam family: Bacterial RNase P class A
About the family: Ribonuclease P (RNase P) is a ubiquitous endoribonuclease, found in archaea, bacteria and eukarya as well as chloroplasts and mitochondria. Its best characterised activity is the generation of mature 5'-ends of tRNAs by cleaving the 5'-leader elements of precursor-tRNAs. Cellular RNase Ps are ribonucleoproteins.
Source: RNAcentral
CAACUGUAGUAAAUGAUCGCGGCUUACCGGAAUUUUACGGUAAGGUGAGGAAAGUCCGGGCUUCACAGGGCAGGAUGCCGGAUAACGUCCGGUGGAGGUGACUCCAAGGCCAGUGCAACAGAAAUAUACCGCCCCGUGCGGAAGCAUAGGGAAGAAGCCUGCAUGCAGGCUUCUUCGGACACUUCUGUAUAGCAGAAGCGUUUGGUAAGGGUGGAAGGGUGGUGUAAGAGACCACCGCCUCCGCGGUAACGCGGAGGGCACAUGUAAACCCCAUCCGAAGCAAGACCAAACAGGGAACUAUAGAUUUGCCCGGUCUGUUCCCAGGUAGGUCGCUUGAGGCUGAUGGCAACGUCAGUCCUAGAUAGAUGAUCAUUCGUGCCGCUGUGAAAAUAGCGGCACUGACAUAACCCGGCUUAUCGCUGCGGUUGCCGA